UGGGGAAUAUUGCACAAUGGGCGAAAGCCUGAUGCAGCAACGCCGCGUGAGUGAUGAAGGCCUUCGGGUUGUAAAGCUCUGUCUUUUGGGACGAUAAUGACGGUACCAAAGGAGGAAGCCACGGCUAACUACGUGCCAGCAGCCGCGGUAAUACGUAGGUGGCAAGCGUCGUCCGGAUUUACUGGGCGUAAAGGAUGCGUAGGCGGAUUUUUAAGUGAGAUGUGAAAUACCCGGGCUUAACUUGGGUGCUGCAUUUCAAACUGGGAAUCUAGAGUGCGGGAGAGGAGAAUGGAAUUCCUAGUGUAGCGGUGAAAUGCGUAGAGAUUAGGAAGAACACCAGUGGCGAAGGCGAUUCUCUGGACCGUAACUGACGCUGAGGCAUGAAAGCGUGGGUAGCAAACAGGAUUAGAUACCCUGGUAGUCCACGCCGUAAACGAUGAGUACUAGGUGUAGGAGGUAUCGACCCCUUCUGUGCCGCAGUUAACACAAUAAGUACUCCGCCUGGGAAGUACGAUCGCAAGAUUAAAACUCAAAUGAA
RNAcentral lists this ribosomal RNA (538 nucleotides) under uncultured bacterium. RNAcentral's name for it is "partial 16S ribosomal RNA". It matches the Rfam family "Bacterial small subunit ribosomal RNA", at positions 355 to 909 of the family's 1533-position model. The record is from RNAcentral.